AAGCAAGAAUAAAGCAUAAGAUCAGACAUAUUUGGAUAUCUUCUUCGUACUUGCUCCGUCUUAAUCUAUUCUGAAUCCGACCGAAGUCUAAUGAGUCAAACAGAAUCUAUUCCAUCCUUGUGUUCAUCCUUGAUUUAUGUACCACCCAAAGGAAAAAAUACACGAAGACGUUCUUUAGCGAAUUUAUGACACGUCUGGGAAGAGAAACCACUAUUUGUAAGCCACAAAAUUCGUAAAUUGUAACAUAAAUUUCAAGUGGAAACGAUAUCUCUUUGGUACUUGCUGGAAUUAGGUGAAAAAAAAGUUUCAUAUUGGUUCAGAUAGAUGAGGAAUGUAAUGUACGUGCAAGACGCGAAAUUGAAUGAACAUUCUCUGCAUGGCUAGUAAACGCAGGAAUGUUGACGUGCGUUACAUUCACACGUCGGGGAAUGAAUGUUUUUCCAUCGAUUCUCCCUUUCCCUCGCUUCUGUCCCGAUAUUCCCCAAAUGGCAGAGGGCGCGAAGCAACAUGGGCAAAGGGAGGGCUGGCGAGACGCGGUUGAUGUUAACGCUGAGUUAUUCAAUAGGACGUAGAAAACGUCGGUAUAUCUACUACGAGACAGUUCUCAUGAGACUCGUAUCAUUUCAUUCAGUCCCCCAAGUUUUCCAGCUAUGCGGUAUUGUGGCCCUAGAACGUAGUUUGCGAAUUUCCCGUAUCGAUAUCUAUGCUUGUCGAACAUUCUAGUCAUAUGCGUCUAUUCAAUCUUGCAGAACCGGGCUCUUUACGAACGAAGAUUAUACGUUUCACAUGACCACUAUAUUAUAUAGGAUGCAUACCUAACGAGAUAAUAAGAAAAGUUCGUAUAUGAAGAUUUUACUGUAGAAAUGUGUACAACUCACCUUUCGCCAGCGUACGCGUUUAACCGAAUGACGUUUUCUUUCCAUUUAUUAUAUCAGAAACGUUCAUGCUUUUCGUAAAAUUCCAAGUUUAACGAAAUCUCUGAUGGAAUUAAUAGAGUCGAUAAUUUUUCCAAGAUAAUCAGAUGUACAAUUUCAUUUUUGACGACGUUUGUCAACCGAGAUUCAUUCUACCCUAUUAUCCUCCUUUAAGAUCAUUCUUCUCUAUCUGACCAUAAAACGAAUGCCGAGGGAACGUCGAAUUGCCGUCGGCAAAAAUCCAACGUUGAGGUUUUCUAAGAAAUACGAAUGCAGUCUUUGGUAAGCUACAAUGAAUGGAAGGGAGUCUGGAGUGAGGUAAGAUCAAAAGAGUCCUUUCGAACUAACUGAGCACAUAUAAAUAAGUAAGGGAUUCCACGCUCAAACUGACGUGGCGCCUGCGUUAUCAACGCCGUUUAAUACACGGACAUUCUUUCUCAAAAAUUAAACGUCUAAGCAAUUUUACCUAUUAAUAAUGAAUCUGAUACAAAAUCAGAGUUGUUAAGAUUAAUCCCUUACCUUUAUAACGUCAACUUAUGCUCGUGGCAAAGAUUAUAGUAUUGGCUUGGAAAAAGCAGAUUGUAUCCUUGACAAGAGUAGUUCUAUGUUAAAUCUCGCCAAAACUGUAGAUUUUAGAUUUUAUAUGUUUAUCAUUGUUGCGAACAUAUAAAUAUACAUAUAGCGACAACAAUAUGGACAAUUGUUGAUCAAUGUUGGGCAAUUGACAUCAAGCUUCUCUUGAAUAAUUGAAUUAAAUUCCGUAUUUCGUGCAAAUCGUCAUGAAAUUGAAUCGACCCUAUGACAAUAAUUUUAUUCUGAAAUCGACGGAUCUGAAGGAUCGGUCCGUCCCUAAUUCCUCUGGUACUACGUCUUCGAUCAAUUACUUUAUUGAAUUGAGAAAAUUUCAGGUUAUGUAUCAAAUAAGAAAUAGAAGGAUGGGGAGAAUAAAUAAAUGAGGUGGCACUGAGGAUCUAAGAAGUGUAUAAAGGAAAGAAAAGAGAAAACGAGAAUAAAACGUAUGCUGGUCCUGCUUUUCGUUCUUCCUUCUCUAUCUCGGGAUUAAACGGCUCGAUUUUCUUUGGACACGAAAUGUCCAAAAAAUUGUGAAUAAUGCAAUUACACGAAAAAUAAAUUUUACUACCAUUGUAUCUUACCUUUGGUAGUUUGAGAAUUUUUGUCCAUACUUUUUUACCACAAUGCUCUUAAAUGAAAUACAAAAAAUAAUCAAAGCAGAGAAAAAACGGAGAAAGACCAUCAAACAAAACUCACUUAAAUGUGUAAUUAAAUCAAUGAAUUUAACGAAGAAAUUUAUAUCAAUUCAUUCCAAGUACAAAACAAUCGGCCUACGUAAAAACAAAAUUAGUAAUUACAUUGGUCAGCAAUCAAAAUAUGCAUAUCAUGAAUGAAAAAUAUAAUAAUAGUUUAAAAAAUAUCAUUAUUGUUCUACAACUGCACGUCAAUGAGCUAUGUAACGAAAAUGGCUAAUUGCUUACAAUAAUUAUCGUUAGUUAAUUAACGAAAUGCGUUAGCGUCUGACAACAAGCAAUUUAGAUCGUUUUGUUUCCAAGCGCAUUACUUAUUCUCAUCAAAAUUCUAUUAGUUCGCGCAAUCGGCGUGUUCGAGAAAUUACACUGCCACGUUCCAUUUGGUAAUCUUCCCUCUCGUUAACUAAUUACGGAACAAUUAGCAUAUAGUCUAAGACACCUUUUUUGCAGGUGAUUAACCACCGUCAAACGCGGACAGAUCCCUGUACGAAGGUGAUGAUUGUUGCACUCGGUCUGUGUAAAUGAAAAGUUUGUUCUGCGUGGCGGAUAAUUUAAUAAAUUCAAAAGUUUCGAAAUUACGCCGUACAUAACCAUGGAUACCGAGCAAUUCCAUUAAUGACGAACACUGCAGUCCGUAAUAUAGUAUCUUCCAACAAAAAAAUUGAACUUCCUGACUGCGAGCCAACGUGCUUUUAUGCGAUGACGUUCCUUUAAUUAAUUUAAAAGUUGUUUCAAUUUUAAUUUACUAAUUGAGCUACUUCUUAAUUAGGCGUAUCUUUAAUUACAAAAUUAAAAUUGAUGGAUGGUAAUUAGUUUUAAUUAGGUUAUAUUUCAUCUUUGCGUAUAUAAGUGAUGAUAUUGUAGUAUCGUAGACAAAUGGCCUAAGAAAUAUCGGGUGAACUUAAGUGCCGUUAGGCCAAAAGGCAGUUUUUACCAAGUGAUCGUUACCUGUUAGUUUUUACCGGGUGGUCGUCACCUGAAGAGUCCAGUGGGGGAGUUGUGAGUUGAAAGUCGAGUGAUGAGAGUCGAGUUGAGAUAGUCGUGAGUUAAGAGUCGAGUGGAGUAGUCGUGAGUUGAGAAUCGAGUGGUGAAGAGUCGAGUUGAGAUAGUUGUGAGUUGACAGUCGAGUGGUGAGGAGUCGAGAGUUGAGUUGCCGAGUAAACUAUUAGUUCUGCUCGUAGAUCAACGAAUACUGGGUUCCAUAGCUAGCUCUGUUACGACAUCGCGUGCGUCGGCCUGAUCUAACACACUUCAAAGCUACAUCCUCGUGUACUCUAUACGUACUUACUACGUGAAUACUUUGACUAGAAACUCACAAUCUGCUCGGUGGUUGGGUUGAUUUAUACCGAAGAACGGAUGUACAUGAAAGUAUCAAACGUACAAGAACCGUGUACACCGGAACAAAAAGUAAAAUCGUAGACGCGAGACAAAUAGAAAGGUGGAAUAUAAAACGGAGUGAACGGCAAAAUUUGAUGGGGAAAUUUUACGACAUGGAUGACGCUUUGAAUCGUGGCUUAGAUAUAUGACAACAAUGUCGGUAUCGACGACCGCGAAGCUUUGUGAAGCCGGUAUGCAAAAUGACCAACAAAAUUGCUUUAAUCUCGUCUCUUUCUUUCUCCUUUGCCGAAACAUGCUGCGAUGCAGCAACUAAGUUUUUAGUUCCCUCUAUGAGCUACUGAGUACAUUCGUUCACUCAAGACAAAAGAGUUUCAAGGCGUAUCAUUGAAAGAUAAAGCGGCGUGCCACGCUCAAAAGAAAGCCACACAUGAAACGAAAGAAUGGCACUUUGCAUAGCAAAAUGGGACGGGUACAAGACCAUGAAUAUUUCCAGUAGGAAAUAUUUAGAAUCAUAUUAAAAAGGAAUUAUUAGAUCCCCCGAAAAGUUUGUAACAAUUUUAACAAUGGAUAUAUUCGGUAGGGUUGGACGAGGAUUUAUCACGAAUUUCUACUGCAUAUCGAAAUUCUAAGUUUGGAAAAAUACCAAUUCUGUUUCGAAAGAGGAACUGGAAUUGAUUAACGUUAGCCAUUUAAACCAUUCAAUCGAAUAAUUGCGAAAAAUAAAUUCGUAGUUGAUCAUGGAAUAAUUCGGUGGUACGCAAAUGUUUCGAAGCAACGACGAACUAUAUAAACGAUUCAAAAUAUAUCGUUCUGAGCCGAAGUCUUGACCAGGUAAAUUGGGGUUUGGUUGGUAUCUAUUCCGGAUUUUGGAAACUUACCAUUAAAAACACUGAAACUCAAAAUUUUCUGAAGUUCGUUAUAUAAUAAUAAAAAUAUGUAAUCUUAUGGUUUAAUGAAUAUGUAAGUAAGAAUUAAUUCUUAAUUUUAAUAAGUCAGGUGUAAGUAUCUAUUAACGAUAAGUCUCACAAAUAUUUCCUAUUAUUUUUUUCAAAAUUAAAUUUUUAUAUACGCAUGAUUUUACUGCAAGUUCUACACCGUGUCUGCUCCGAAACGUUUAUGGAAAGAUGAAGGAUUCAAAUAAGAUACUGAAUGAAGAAGUUUAGUCGAAUUUAUGACCUUAAUCAAAACUAUUUAACUUGCUUUUGAUGCAGUUAUAACAAAAACGUGGAAGUUAUUAAUGAUUCAGGAGAAAAUUGGUAUGUACUAAUACACAGAAGCAGAACUUUCUAGUGAAGAUCAAGAACCUCAUAAAUUGCGAAUAAAGUUAAUUGAGCGGAAAACUGCGUCCUACAAUUGGCUCUUAAGAAAUUGCUGAAUGCUUUGUUUGAUUCAUUAUGCGAGAAUUUAAUAUCUCUUUAGGUAUAUUCUAUAUAUAAAGAACCUUCAUGAUUAUAAAAACCAUCACCAUUUCAUUAAAAAUAAAUCAAAAAACGAGAAAUGUAUAUAAUUCGCUUCUCUACAUCACAUAAAAUAUCCCUCUUUUGUUUAAAAUAAAAUUUUAACAAAAUUAAAACCAACGACUGGAAUGAAACUGAAACUCGCUAACGUUAAAAUAAUUAACUUUAAUACCAUAUUUUUAUCUUUCUACACGCACGCACAAAUACAUAAAUAUGUACCUACACUGAAUAUUAUUAUUCAACGCACACUUUUAUACAUCUACAAAUGUAUGACGUACAUUCUCGUAAAAGUGGAAACCCACGUUUGUAUCUACACCUCUAUGAGCAUACAUAUACUUAAAUAGUAGUCAAGCCGAUCCUCAAGAGUUCAUUAUAAACGCCAGCCAACCAACCGACCUUUCCUCUCAACUCGGAAACUCACUUUACCACAUCUAUAUAGGCGCUACUUCGCGAUUUUCUGAAUUACUAAAUAAAAAAAGUCAUUUAAUUUCGCGUAUAAAAUUUACAGACAGACUCGUUGAAAUGCUCCGGCUACGUCAGCAAACUAUCCCUAAUUUCAAGAAUCAUUUGCUCAUUUUUUUUCUCAACUUGCUCCUGAAUUUCAUAUAACUUGGAUAAAGCAUUGUGGAAUAUUAAUCAAUAAAUGGGAAAUGGAAAAUUAAUGGAAAAUGUCAAGAAAUGUUUAAAAGUUAAUCAAACAUUUGAACAUAUGAGUCUUCACAUAAGAAAUGAAAUAUGUAUCUCGUAAAAUAUUGAUCUUUCAAUGACUAUUCACAAAUGACGGUGAUUUUUUCCUAAUCUCGUUUAGAAGAAGUAGCUUAGCUACGUUGAUAGAAUCAUCAUGUAUACAUAUUUAUAAUAAUUUGUAAACCUUACAGACUUAAACGAGCGUAUGCAUUUCAGAAUGUGUUGUGGAACACACAUGAAUGAGCGCAAGAGGGAGGAAGUAUAUAUUUAAAUUGAAGUAAAAUAAGUAUCCGUAAAACGGUACAAAUAUUUAUGUUGCGAUAAAAAAUAUCGCUGUUGAAAUAUUUUUAUAAUAUUUUUAUAAUUAAUUUUUAUAAAUAAACGUUAUAGAGGGGAUAUAGAUGCUCGGGUUGAAAUUAGAGGUUUAUGGGGAAAUAAAUCUAAACUAAGUGGAACAGUUUUUUGAGAAUUAAAUGCAUCGCCUUUUAUAACAUCCUAUGACAUACGUGUAAUGUUUAUUGGCAUUGUAAGUAAUAAAAAUUUGAGUCCGUAGUGAGCAUAUUAAAUAGAUGAAUUUUCACGUAGCAUAAUAUUUACCAAGAAAAAGUUCUUUACGAAUUAAUGGGCAAAAAUAUACAAUAUGUAAUUAUUAUUCGGUAAGCAUAAAACAAUAUAUAGCGCACAGAAACUUCACUAACGAGUCUCCUCGCAGAAAUUUAUUAUAAUUACGUAGGAGAGUUGGAAACGCCUGUUUCUGAUGUAUAGAACUUCAUUUUAGGUCCAUUAAAGGAUGGCAUGGAAACGGAAUUGCGAAAGUGUCGUUUUUGUUACCAUAUUGCACCGGAAACUUUUUCCAUUAAUAUUACGAACCCUUAUAUUGUACUCUAUGCCAAUAAAUCGACCCUCGUGAACAAAUUUAGGGGGAUGCCCAAACAAUAAAUGGGGUGGUGCAAAAGCAAAUACAAGUGAUCUUUUUCUGUCACCAGCUACAUAGUGAUGCUGUGUCUGUGAAAAAAUAUUCGUUUCGAUAUGUGCAUCGUUGAUCGGAUAUUGUACAUUAAAACGAAAUAUCAAAAAACAUAUUUGUCGUACGAAUCAACAGAAUUUAUCAAAGAAUAUCAUCAAUUUUCGAUUAUAUUAAAAUAUACAUCUGUUAUUUAUGUUUCAUUAGAUUCUUGUAUAAUAAAUUUUAUCUGAAGAUAAAUUAUAUCAAUAAGUACGUAUGUAUCUAUUCCCCUCUUUUAAUUUUAUUAGUCAAUUAUACCAAUUAAUAUGAGGUGUUGCAUAAUCAUCGGUAUUUUUUCUUUCCGCGUAAUAUUAUACAUAAUUUAUCUCACAUUUAUCCAUGCGAUUAAUUUUACCAUAUUCGAAAUGCACAUGCAAUCUAGAGUUUUCAAAUAUGAAUCUUGGCUUCUGAAUAAAUUUUUAACUUCCUGUUUCAACUUCUCCUAGUGAAUUUCGAUGAUACAGAAUCAUAUUCUAAUUCGAAUAUGUAUAUAUAUUUCCCUCCAUAAGUAUUAAGAUAUUUACGAAAAAUUAGGUAAGUAAAAGAUCAUCGAACCUUUUGCAGUAUCAUGCAAAUUUUGUAAAUAAGCUUCCAUUUCUUGGUCAAAGGCUAAACUAAACUGCUAGUAGCUAAUAGUGAUAGUAACAGUAUUACAAGUAUUACAUUCACUGUUGUAGAUUCGGUAUUACAGUCACUAUUUACAGAUCUUUUAUUAAUCGGCAGACAAAGGAAAAAUAUGAUAAAUAGUAUAUAGAAGUACAAAAUAAUAAGUAUGAAAUAUCAAAUUAUCCAGGGAAAUAUCAUGGAAUAUCAAAUUAUACAUUGCUUUUAAUUAAAUUGUACGUAAAUAAGGAAAUACUGAUAUAAACAUAUGAAAAGUUGGACGUAAGGGAAAAGAGAUAAAUUUAUGUUUGUAAUGAAUGUUUGUCGUGUAGAGAGAAAUUGUAACGUUAAAACCGAUCGUCGAAAAUAACACGGGGAGAACGACGAACGGUAUACUAUACUGUUACUGGUACUUAAAACAUUCACGGCAUACACAACUACUAACUGUAUGUAACUAAUACUAAAAAUGACUUCUCGUAAUAGUUACGAUGAAACGCUACAUCGUUAUAAGAUUUAUAAUUCACUCUAUGAUAGAAUUCUCUGUCAUGUGUAGAAUUAUUAUCAAUGUAUAUGAUACAUUACAUUAUAUUUUAUAUCGUGAAAUUUAGCGUCGAUAGAUGCUUUUCGAUAUUUGUUAAAUGGAAAAAGUAUGCGUGUUUUAAGGUCAGAAUAAUUGAACAAUAUUUACAUUGUAUAUUCUUUGUAAAACGAUUCGCUCUCUUGCGUUUCGAUUUAAUCGAGCGAAAGGGUAUCGAAUGAUAGUAUUUUGAAGUCACUGCCAAUCAUGUAUCUUGUUGAUUGAUUUGGGAUACACUUAAUGACAAUGUUUUUUGGAUACCUUUCAAUCGAAAGCGAUUAAUCAACCACUGAAUUCUAACAUUUGGCAACAAGUUUAGACAACGGUUAAUUGAUAAUUAUACAUAUACCUAUUGAUACAACAUAGAGAAUCUUCCACGUCUCUAGCAGAAAUUGAAUUCGAUGUAAAUUAAAUCCUUGAGUAGAAAUAUUUAAGAUAUUAUAAUUUCAAUUCACCAAAUAUAAUCUCUACAUGGCAGUUAUAAUCACAAUUUGCUUGACAAAUACUAACCGUCAUUAUUCAUUUAUGAAUGUACAAGACUAUAUUGUUGGUAUAUGGAACAUCUACAGAACAUGCCACUGCAUCAGUUUGCAUUAUAAUAAAACCGUAUUUACAGCUACCUACGAGGUACCAAAUAUUUUGAAGGAUAUCGUAAUACCGACGGCUCUGAUAUUGAGUCGAUAUUAGUCAGCAUUAAACAAAACGUGACAAAUAUAAUACAGAGUAACAUCGUUGUGCGAAUCGAAGGGACGAACGAAACGAGGGGUAAAGUACAGUAGGGAAUCCAUGGUGAUAAUUAAUUCCAUGUCGCUGACAUAUGGUGCUCACGGGAAUGCUAUUUCGAAUUACCAUACGUAAGCUAUAUUGUUCAGAGCAGCGGAUGGCUGCGAGCUGUCGCUACCAGACAGCGCGUUUAAUUGACUGAGUUAAUUUGAACUAAACAAUGAUUAAAACUGAGACUGGACUCGGCGGUUUGUUGCGCGUGAUACCUAUGCAGAAUGAUUCAUCAUUCUCCAUCAUAGCGUUUCCCAAUUUUUCCCAAGUCGCGAGAUCUUCUUUUAUAUCAGUUAAACAUCCAAAUCACCUGCUACUUUUCCUUCGCAUUUGCGUAACAAGGCAUUUCGCUUCUUUCCAUUUAUCAAAAAAUGAUGUUACGCCGCCUUCCUAUUCUAUUUUUACGAUGUAACGAAGGAAAUCGCGUUUAUUGCAAUUACUGAACGCUCUUAUUUUCAUUUAUGUUUGCCAACCGAAAAGAAUUGGUGUGAACGUCAACGUUGAAAGUAUCAUUGUGUUAACAUGUGUUACACGAUUUAUUAUAUCUAUUAACAAUACACGGAACAAAUAAAAAGGGCAAGAUCAUUUUGAGAUGUCGAGAUUCUAUAAAAAACUAAUGUACAACAGAAAUGGAAUAUUUGUCCGAUUAAACUUGCAAAUCAACAAUAUAGCCUGAAUUAAACUCAUUUACGUAUUAACGAUUGCUGGUUAUGCUUAAUGUGUCGAAAUGUACCUAUGUAGAGAUUUAUACAUAGGUGUUUUGAAAUGGAAAUAUAGUAACAAAUAAAGAAUUAAAAUUUAAAAUUGAUGCUCGUUAACUUUGAUUACCGACAUUUUUGGAAAGAAAUAUACCAGAAAUUCAAGUGAUCUAUUACAUGAUCUACUACUGUUCCCAAACAAGAAUCAUUCAAUUCCAGGAAAAUAAAAAAAUCUUUUUAUAAUUCCUGAUAAAUGGAUACUAUAUUUUAGUUUCUUAGCCUCGAAAUUUGCAUACUUUUUCUCAGAAACAAGUAUCUAAAAAACUAUUUGAAUAAAUAUUUAUUUUACGAACUUGCUUUCUUCGAUAAAAAAAAUGUGUCAAAAUUUAAUCUGUUUAAGUUGCUUCAAAGCCAGGUAAUAUAUGGUGUUAAAGAUAUUAAAAAAUCGUUAUCAAUUAGUGAAAACUAUAACAACAUUUAUAUGUAAAGUACGUUGUUAUAUAGAUAAAUUACGUAAAUGCAUUGACAAUGCGUUAUGCAAAUGGUUAACGAGUUUGACUUGUUUAAUAAAUAGCAACAAUUGAUUAUUAUAUGAUCAAUACGUGAACAUCAACAAUAAUGAUUAGCAUUUUGCAACAACCCUUAAUUAAUCCUAUUUGUAUUUACUAAUGUUAUCGUCAUUUAACUAUAACUCUCCAAAUAUACAAGUAAAUCGAUAUAAACACGAGAUUAUUGAAAAAUACAUACAAGUACUAUAAAUUUAGAAAAGAGUGUAUUCAGACGGAUUUUCGUACGAAAAAUCAUUCUUCCAUUUUUAAAACAAGUUGUUUUAAAAGAAUUUAUUCUCCAAACUAGUCAUACUCAACCUACGGUCAGUAAAGCUUUUAUAUAGGACCCAUAACAUUCACGUUCAUUGUCAGGUACUUUUCUAAGUAGUGAGAAAAAGGAAAGAGAAAGAAACACAUGUAAAGAAAACGAAGGAACAAAGAAAAGAAGUUAUGCAAUAUAUAAUGAUAGAUUUAGGAUAUCAAUUUAUAUCAAUAGAUGCUACAUUUCUAUCAUCUGACUGCAAAAUAUACACAUAUUGUGAAUAAAACCAGUUUAAGAAUUAUUAAAACUUUCUCACUUUUUCCAAGAGAUGGGAUCAUUAGCGAUCUAUAAUUUCUUUCAGACUUUUGUACCUCAUAAUGACUAGAAUAUGUUGCAAUAAUAAAAAAAUUUGAUCCUGAAUUUCAAGGUCAAGAUCAUUUUCAGAAUCAAGGUUUUCAAAAGGUUCAGACUCAAGCAGCUAUCCUCUUUACGCUUACCUUUUUGAACCUUGUAUAUAUAUCCUAAUUAAUAAACAAUAAAUUUAAUAAUUACCUAUUUAAUUUCUUUCACCUCUAAUAACUGGGGAUGGUUUUCACUUAUGCCUAAUAUGAUUCUAUCGAGAUAUUUGAAAAGAGCUCAAGUGUGCAAUGAUCUCUUGGUAAGCUCUUAAAACUCGGUUCACUCGUAAUGAUUUAAAAUUUAAGACAAUAAUGUAAUAAUCAAUAUAAUUAAGUUCAAAUAAUAUACACAUUUCUAACUUAAUACAUCGUUCAGAUACACUACCACUAUUAUCUCUAGUCAUCGUCUUGAACAAUUGUUCAAGUUAGUUAGUUGCACAUAUAGCCUAGUUAUGAAUAAACACAUUGCAAUAAAAACAAUUGUGCUAGCAUUACAAAAUAA
Long non-coding RNA from Bombus terrestris (buff-tailed bumblebee), 11029 nucleotides. RefSeq lists it as uncharacterized. The record is from RefSeq and is a predicted model, not a curated record. The transcript has 5 exons. Lineage: Eukaryota; Metazoa; Arthropoda; Insecta; Hymenoptera; Apidae.